AUGGCCGCCGCGAAGGAGAGCAGCCCUGACCCCGACGCCAGCGCCACCGCCACCGCGGCGCCGCCCACGCCCAUGUCGGCGCCGGCGUCCUUCAAGUUCAACGUGCACGCGCCGGAGUUCGUGCCCAUGUCGCCCACCGCCACGCCCAUGUCCGCGCCGGCGGGCGGGUACUACUCGCCCUUCCUGCAGAUGCAGCCGGCGCCCGACUGGAGCUUCCUCCAUGACCACGAGCCCGUCUUCUUCAUGCCCGACUUCGCGCACGCCAAGUUCGCCGCCGCCGCCGCCGCCAGCAACAGCGCCCAGGCCAAGGGCAACGGCGGCGGCUCCGCCGACGUCGCGCAGAAGAUCGUCAAGCAGGUCGAGUACCAGUUCAGCGACAUUAACCUGGUCGCCAACGAGUUCUUGCUCAAGAUCAUGAACAAGGACUCCGAAGGCUACGUUCCCUUGUCAGUCAUUUCAUCAUGGAAGAAGAUCAAGUCUCUGGGAGCAACCAACCAGAUGCUGGUCAAGGCUCUCCGCACCUCCACGAAGCUUAUUGUGAGCGAUGAUGGGAAGAAAGUUCGGCGCAGGCAGCCCUUCACCGAGAAGCACAAAGAAGAACUUCAGUCUCGGAUGAUCAUAGCGGAGAAUUUGCCAGAGGACUCAUCAAGAAACAGCCUCGAGAAGGUCUUCAGUGUCGUUGGAAGUGUGAAGAACAUCAAGAUAUGCCACCCCCAAGAGCCUAGCUCAGCCAGGGCUUCCAAGUCAGACACACUUGUGAGUAACAAGAUGCAUGCUUUAGUCGAAUAUGAGACCUCACAGCAAGCUGAGAAAGCAGUAGAGAAGCUAAACGAUGAGCGGAACUGGAGGAAAGGCCUCCGUGUGCGCACAGUACUCAGGCGCUCUCCCAAGUCAGUAAUGAGGCUCAAGAGGCCUGAUUUCGACCACUACGCUGGUUCCGAUGACGAAUCGCCACACUCACAGGUGUCAUCCGACUCCCCAACUUCAGAAGCUAUCCAUUCACCUGAAGCUCAUCCAGAGGAUCACCAGAGUGGGGCCAAGAAAGGGUGGGCAAGAGGGCGAGGGAAGCUCCAUAUCGUGGCACCGCACAGCCCGCAGUCUGCUCCCGCAGGCGCAGUCGGCCACUUUGACCCAUCGAGCCCUCGCCAGGCGUCCCAGAAAUGCCCAUUGAGCCCCAGGCAGGUUUCUCAGAAGUGCCCAUUCAGCCCCAGGCAGCCUCCCCAGGGCCCGAGGAUGCCCGACGGGACACGUGGGUUCACAAUGGGCCGGGGGAAGCCAGCGGCAUCAUCCGUGGCAGCCCGGACGGUUGCUGCUCCUCCUCCGGCUCCUGUUCUUGUCUAG
Molecule: ribosomal RNA, 1341 nt
Filed under: Triticum aestivum (bread wheat)
Lineage: Eukaryota; Viridiplantae; Streptophyta; Magnoliopsida; Poales; Poaceae
Description: partial small subunit ribosomal RNA
Source: RNAcentral